This 104-nucleotide small nucleolar RNA is filed under the name Zalophus californianus (California sea lion). Its description in RNAcentral is "Small nucleolar RNA U13 (ENSZCAG00015002467.1)". It matches the Rfam family "Small nucleolar RNA U13". The record is from RNAcentral. Lineage: Eukaryota; Metazoa; Chordata; Mammalia; Carnivora; Otariidae.
AUCCUUUUGUAGUUCAUAAGCGUGAUGAUAUGGUGUUCACACCAUUGUAUAACAUGUAUCUCACUCAAACCUUGUUACAACCUCUGCACAUUACCUGUCCGAUA